AUUAAAGUAGGCAUGCAUUCAAAAACAAUUCUAAAACCCAUGACUUUCAAAGCCUAGUGAAUGGUGAACCAUAAGACUCUUUAACAACAUUAAAGAGAAGGUAAGAUUUAGAGAUUUAUUACCUUUGAAGCUCAUCCUUGUUUACACAAGGGAUUCACCCAAGUGGAGAGCCUUCAAGUCACCUCCUAGUUCCUUGGAUCUUCCUUGUGAUUUCCUUCCCUUUUGUGCUCCUUUGCUCCUUGAGGAUGUAAGGAAAGGAUCUCCAAAAACACCAAAGGUUUGGUGUCUCUAAGUCUCCACACCAAGGAUGAGGUGUGCAGAUGAAAUGGAUGACUUAGAGAAGAAAAGAUUGCUAGCUAAAUCCUCUCUAAGUGGCCGGCCUCCUUGUAGAGAAAAGAGAGAAAAUGUUUCACCUCUUUGCCUCAAAGAAAACCCUAAAUGAAAAUAAAGCUAUAAAGUUGAAUUUAUACUUCAUCACAUGUGAGUGGCAAACUUGUA
Molecule: long non-coding RNA, 498 nt
Filed under: Malus domestica (apple)
Lineage: Eukaryota; Viridiplantae; Streptophyta; Magnoliopsida; Rosales; Rosaceae
Description: long non-coding RNA (MDOM_LNC005911)
Source: RNAcentral